RNAcentral lists this ribosomal RNA (484 nucleotides) under uncultured bacterium. RNAcentral's name for it is "partial 16S ribosomal RNA". It matches the Rfam family "Bacterial small subunit ribosomal RNA", at positions 30 to 507 of the family's 1533-position model. The record is from RNAcentral.
AUUGAACGCUGGCGGCAGGCCUAACACAUGCAAGUCGAGCGGAUGCAGGGAGCUUGCUCCUGGAUUCAGCGGCGGACGGGUGAGUAAUGCCUAGGAAUCUGCCUGGUAGUGGGGGAUAACGUCCGGAAACGGGCGCUAAUACCGCAUACGUCCUGAGGGAGAAAGUGGGGGAUCUUCGGACCUCACGCUAUCAGAUGAGCCUAGGUCGGAUUAGCUAGUUGGUGGGGUAACGGCCUACCAAGGCGACGAUCCGUAACUGGUCUGAGAGGAUGAUCAGUCACACUGGAACUGAGACACGGUCCAGACUCCUACGGGAGGCAGCAGUGGGGAAUAUUGGACAAUGGGCGAAAGCCUGAUCCAGCCACGCCGCGUGUGUGAAGAAGGUCUUCGGAUUGUAAAGCACUUUAAGUUGGGAGGAAGGGCAGUAAGUUAAUACCUUGCUGUUUUGACGUUACCAACAGAAUAAGCACCGGCUAACUUCGUG